Long non-coding RNA from Trachymyrmex cornetzi, 377 nucleotides. RefSeq lists it as uncharacterized. The transcript is spliced from 3 exons. The record is from RefSeq and is a predicted model, not a curated record. NCBI's taxonomy places the organism in Eukaryota, Metazoa, Arthropoda, Insecta, Hymenoptera, Formicidae.
GUAAUGCGAAGAGAUACAGAACAGUACGCGUUAACUGUCAACUCGAAAUUCGUUGCGUGAACGACAACGGUACGCAGUGGUUUGGCAUACUAAAACAAAUACCACAGAGCCGUAUACAACACUUGUCGCAACCACGUUUCAAGAGGUAAUGCACGACGAUACACAGAACAGUUUGCGCUACGCCUGCCAACUCGAGUUUCAUUGAACGAAUGAAAGUAGUAGUAGCACGACCUUGCUUAUACACAGCGCUAAGUACAACGGAGACACCGUAAUAAUAAACACUAAAGCGUCAGUAAAAUAACAAGAAGCAGAGGACAUUCUAAUCCUAGUUCGUCGUUGGACAUUACACAAAAUUAACAAGUAGCAAAGAGGCAAAA